RNAcentral lists this ribosomal RNA (467 nucleotides) under uncultured bacterium. RNAcentral's name for it is "partial 16S ribosomal RNA". It matches the Rfam family "Bacterial small subunit ribosomal RNA", at positions 29 to 507 of the family's 1533-position model. The record is from RNAcentral.
ACGAACGCUGGCGGCGUGCUUAACACAUGCAAGUCGAACGGAAAGGCCCUGCUUUUGUGGGGUGCUCGAGUGGCGAACGGGUGAGUAACACGUGAGUCACCUGCCCUUGACUUUGGGAUAACUUCAGGAAACUGGGGCUAAUACCGGAUAGGAGCUCCUGCUGCAUGGUGGGGGUUGGAAAGUUUCGGCGGUUGGGGAUGGACUCGCGGCUUAUCAGCUUGUUGGUGGGGUAGUGGCUUACCAAGGCUUUGACGGGUAGCCGGCCUGAGAGGGUGACCGGCCACAUUGGGACUGAGAUACGGCCCAGACUCCUACGGGAGGCAGCAGUGGGGAAUAUUGCACAAUGGGCGGAAGCCUGAUGCAGCAACGCCGCGUGCGGGAUGACGGCCUUCGGGUUGUAAACCGCUUUCGCCUGUGACGAAGCGUGAGUGACGGUAAUGGGUAAAGAAGCACCGGCUAACUACGUG